CAGCCGCCGCGGGAAUACAGAGGGUGCGAGCGUUAAUCGGAUUUACUGGGCGUAAAGCGUGCGUAGGCGGCUUCUUAAGUCGGAUGUGAAAUCCCUGAGCUUAACUUAGGAAUUGCAUUCGAUACUGGGAAGCUAGAGUAUGGGAGAGGAUGGUAGAAUUCCAGGUGUAGCGGUGAAAUGCGUAGAGAUCUGGAGGAAUACCGAUGGCGAAGGCAGCCAUCUGGCCUAAUACUGACGCUGAGGUACGAAAGCAUGGGGAGCAAACAGGAUUAGAUACCCGUGUAGUCCCUGUCUCCUAUAC
RNAcentral lists this ribosomal RNA (301 nucleotides) under uncultured bacterium. RNAcentral's name for it is "partial 16S ribosomal RNA". It matches the Rfam family "Bacterial small subunit ribosomal RNA", at positions 509 to 807 of the family's 1533-position model. The record is from RNAcentral.